UACGGAGGGUGCGAGCGUUGUCCGGAAUCAUUGGGCGUAAAGGGCGCGUAGGUGGCCCGGUCAGCGUGCGGUGAAAGCUCGGGGCUCAACCCCGAGUCGGCCGUGCGAACUGCUGGGCUUGAGCACUGUAGAGGCAGGCGGAAUUCCGGGUGUAGCGGUGGAAUGCGUAGAGAUGUGGAGGAAUACCGAUGGCGAAGGCAGCCCCCUGGGAUGACACUGACGCUGAAGCACGAAAGCGUGGGGAGCAAACGGG
Molecule: ribosomal RNA, 253 nt
Filed under: uncultured bacterium
Lineage: Bacteria
Description: partial 16S ribosomal RNA
Rfam family: Bacterial small subunit ribosomal RNA
Source: RNAcentral